CAAAGACCUACAGAAAUAUGGCAUUUAAAUGGUUUAGGGUUUUUCUUGGCAGUGAGACACAACUGCUCCUGGCACACCAAUUAUGUCAGAAAGGAGGAUGGGCAUCGAAGAAACUCGUUAUGGAGUUUGCUUUCAACAUGGCAAGACUAGCCAUUUGGGCAAGAAACUGCUCUUGCCUGGACUGUUUGUUGCUGUAUAAAUUGGACAUGCAGGACCCACAAGAAAAUGACUGCUAAACUUACAAAACUAAAGGGUUCCUGUUAAAAUGGAGGAGUGUGUUAGACAUACUGUGGCCUAUAGGCUGAAGAUGGAUGCCCCAACAUUUACAGAGGAACUUUGGGUGACUGCCCAGCGGCAAGAUGUGAUCCACCAGCUAGGAGGGACGCCAAUAAGGCGUCCGAUAAGAUAAGUCUUAUAAAAUAUAUAGAUGUAUGAUGAUUGAUACUGAGCUAACAGAUGAGAAUCCUAGUCAUUGGCCAAGCAGCAUUGUAACUAAUACAAGUCUCUCUGUGUAUUCAUUUGGGCCUAACUUGGACAGGCGGCUGCCAUAAAGCUUACACGUGGCGGUGGGGCUCAGCGGCUUUUGGCAGAAAGAUUUAUC
Molecule: long non-coding RNA, 601 nt
Filed under: Cricetulus griseus (Chinese hamster)
Lineage: Eukaryota; Metazoa; Chordata; Mammalia; Rodentia; Cricetidae
Description: lncRNA (ENSCGRG00015035174.1)
Source: RNAcentral